CCCGCUGCCUCCUGGUGCUGCCUCCCACACACACAGGCCGCUCCUGCAAGAGGCAAGGAGGAGGCUCCUGAGUAGGGACUCUCCCUUCUCCAGCCUCUAAUCCUCCUUUGGAUGUUACCAGGGGGUAAUGUGAUUAAUGUGACCGUAAGAUGCUGGAGACGUCAGAAUUCUCCAGUCACUCACCUCAACAGUAGUGAUACCACGUGAGCCAGGGAAGAUUCCCGUAACAUCACCUACAGCACACAGGGAGUAUCCCAAGUGACUGUGUCAGAAGCUGGGAAUGUGUGACGGGGGUUGGAUCGUUUGAUGUUUCCCUGUUCUACUCAUUCCUCUGGGCCACCUGGCAAUGGCCACUGUCGGCAGACAGGACACUGGGCUAGAUGGACCGUUGGUCUGACCCAGUGCGGCCGCUCUUACGUUCUCAUCGGCUGGACCACGGACAGAGGAGAAGUCACAAGAGAAAAAGGGAUUUCACACUAGCACAUGGCCCCAGAGCAAGAAACUGAAAGCAAGCAAAUGCCACAGGCCAGCCUUUUUUAAGCAAAUGUUUAUUUAUAUCAAAAUACAAAACAUUUCUGAAGCAAAGUAAUGUUACAUGAGGAGCAAUUCAAUGUUAAACGUUAUCGAUUCCAAAAUCCGUCGUUCUCCUACAGAAUGGCUAGUUUUACGUAACAUUGCAACACUGCCAUAAUUUCUUAAUUGGGUACAUUUUUUUUUAAAUCAAAUCUAUGGUCAUGCAAUGUUACUGGUGAUGAGUUGUUUAGUACUCAGCAGGCCUUAAAAUACCAGCAAGUGAAGGUCUAGGGACUAGCCAGUCACAUUAAGGCAGGGCUUCACAUUAAUUUCCCCCUAACGUUAGACUCUGUGUUUCAAUUGGCAGUAGCCCAAGUGCCUCAGCGGCCAACAUCCUUGGCAGACUGACAGAGUGGAUUUAUUGCUUAGAGCCACCCAACCAGAAGCGGGUAGGAGUUGCCUCCAGUGAAUGUGAAUCAGGUUAGCUCUUCAUUUGGGACAGGCAAAGAGUGCCGGGGAGAAGGACGACUAAAUGCUGUUUGACAGAGAGAACCAGGCAAAGUCAGUGUUUCUUUGGCCCGAGCAGGUCUAGUGCCAGCAUGGCUGAGUUGGAAGAUUUCUCCCGCUAGAGCCAAAUUCCCUUGUUCUGUAACACCCAGGCCCAGCCACAGACCUCAAAAGUGGAGUGCAUCAGUGCAGGGGGCAAGAAUUGGGCCUGCAAACUCAUCAAGGGAAACACUAAGAUUCCUGAGGGUUCUCUGCAGUCAGCUUCCCAGGAGACAGCCUGGGAGGGGAGCAAAAAGGAGCUGUCCCUCCCCAGGAGGUUGCAUUGACCCUCCGAGACCCAAGAGGAAACAUCCCUGUUUCCUCCCCUCAUUACACUGUCAAGGGCCAGACAAAACUUGACCAAUGUCCUUCCCCAGCAGAAAUGAGGCUCCCUGUCCGGGCUCUGGAGUGACAAAAUACUGGCACUAGCUAAACUUCCAGGGCCAAGUCCAGGACCUUACUGCCCCCUGCUGGUAUUUUACAGACCUUCACAAAAACAGAGGCUGAGAGCAACAAUACAGCUAUCGGGAGAUUAUAUAGAGCGCAGAAUAAGUUUUGUAUAAGGCUUUGGUACAGCACCAUCAUGUCUUGGAUUUAUUUCUAAAUCGUUUACAGAAAAAAAAAAGCUUACUGAAAAAAUAGUGUUCUGUUUUUCUUCUUUUUUUUUAAUUUUAUUCUCUUGAAUAACAUACCUGAAGUUAAAAAUUAACCCUCUAGUUGCCAUUCGGGCUCAGGUCGCCUAUUUUUGCUGUGUGCAUCUGUGCAAUUUCGACACAAAAAGGAAUACGAAACUCAAAAACUAUUGUUAACCUGGUACACAGCCUGCACAACUUGCAGCAGCGACCGGCAUCGUCGCUACAUGGGCCGGGCCCAGUGGCUAAGAUUUGACAUGCACAUGUCAGCAACCGAGAUCACGGAAGUUCAGUUCAAAUCACGAACCUUUAUUAAAGAAAGAAAACCACAACAACGCACAUUAAGGAACCAGUGGGACAAAAGUUUCUUUUAUUAUUGUUAUUUAAAAAAAGUCAGUUCCACUGGCUACCAUUUAAACAGCACCAAAGAGCACCCUAAUGUGUGUUAUACAUUGUAAUACUCGACAUUCAAAAAAUGGAGACGAGGUUGAAUGGUCUUCAAGGGUUAAAGUCAUUUUUAAAUAUAGGCAAGUUGUCUGAAAAAGAAAGAAAUAAAAAAAAUACCCUACACAACAGAAGAUCACUUGGAGUUCUACAAAAAAAACCCACUGGUUGAACAGGGAAUUAAACCGUUAGAGGUCUGUGGAAAUUCAACAGGGUUCCACAGGCUCUAAACUUAUCACAUUGAAUAGAAAAUGAUAAGCUUUAUAUAGGAGUUGCAAACUAGCCUACACAAUUCUAUAGGGAUAUAAUUUCCUACUAAAUUCCAUAGGAUGACUCAAGAGACCAACAGAAAAGUGGUCAUUGGUUAUUAAAAUUCAGUAGGGUUUUCCCACAAGAGAAAUACAAACAAAGUCUGCACAGAAAGUCCUAAGUUGUCUUGUCUUAAAUUUUGAGACUGAGUGGUAGAUACGGCAUCCAUGCCCCAUCGUAGGGUCAUUCUAAAAGAAGAGUAAGUAGUUACUAAGCACAGGGGAGAAAGGAGGGUGUGUAUGCGAAGCCCAUAGAGGGGAAAAAACUGAUGGGGGGGAAAAAGCAUCUCCAAGACCACCAGCCCGUCUAGAUCCAUUCUGCAGUCAGCAGCCCUCAUGCCUUGCACUGGCCGUUGUGAACAUCACCGGGCAGAAGUGGGGUUGGACCAGUGUUCCCUGUAAGCUGGGCGCUGUUGUGACCAUUCAGGUGAAAUUCAAAUGCUGCCCAGCAGAUUAGCAGAGUGCCCAUCAAUAGGAUUUUUGUUUCUUCUGGUGGUGCACAUGCCUCAGCGCACAUAAAAUGUAUUCCACGCAUGGAUGAAACGAUUAGAGGGAACAUUGGUUGGGACUGUGACCUGAAAGGUUAGGUAGGCCCUUAAGCAUAUCUGGGCAGGAGAAUGGAUGGGACAUUCCAACCAAGCAGUCACACGGCAGAUCUAACACAAAAGAGUGCUCAGGAAAAACCCUUCGUUACCUCUGAUCCUCUAGGAGGCUUCCACGUAAGCUCUCUAGGUAUUACAAGGCCCAUAAUGAAAAGCCUUUGACUCCCUGUGUUCACGUCCCCUCCCUUUUACUUCUCAUUUAAAGGUUUUUAAAAAUCCUGAAGUUACCAGAACCACCAUUUAAAGCAAAUCCCUCCAACACUUCGCCCCGCAAGAACCCCAACCAAAGCCUGCACUGCACUGGACGGGGGCACGGCAGAUGGAUGGACACUGGGGCUGGUGAUUAAAAAAACAAACAAACAAAAAAGAAAGUGGACAGACGCAUGUCUCCAAGGUUUCUCCCUAAAUGCUAGUGCAUCAGGUUGGAAACGAGGUGCCGUUGGUUUGCAUUUGGCAUCAAGAGAGUUAAUAUUACUGUAGAAAGUGUGCUUCAUAAACGUCUUUUCUCCAUUAUUUUUCCUCUUUUUUUCUGUAAGUGAUUUCCGGGGUGGGGGGGAAGAUGGGGGAAAUGGGAAAGCUGCUAACACCCCUGCCCCCUCCCAAAAAAACCAUCACAAUGUGAGUGUCCCAAGCUCAGAGAGCUGUCAGCCACACAAGCGAACAAGGUAACCAAGGACAGCCCUUGUCCUUCUGACUGUUUCACUUGUUUACUGCUACUCAAUGCAAUCUAGACGUGCCAUCUACCAUGCUUUUCUUUGAACAAAUCUUGGCUCGUCAUUAGAAACACUCCCUUAAAAAAAAAAAAAAAAAAAAGAAUAAAAGAUCAAGAAA
This is a non-coding RNA of Pelodiscus sinensis (Chinese soft-shelled turtle), 3876 nucleotides long. NCBI's taxonomy places the organism in Eukaryota, Metazoa, Chordata, Testudines, Trionychidae. The record is from RefSeq and is a predicted model, not a curated record.